UACGUAGGGUGCGAGCGUUGUCCGGAAUUACUGGGCGUAAAGAGCUCGUAGGUGGUUUGUCGCGUUGUUCGUGAAAACUCACAGCUUAACUGUGGGCGUGCGGGCGAUACGGGCAGACUGGAGUACUGCAGGGGAGACUGGAAUUCCUGGUGUAGCGGUGGAAUGCGCAGAUAUCAGGAGGAACACCGGUGGCGAAGGCGGUUCUCUGGGCCUUACCUGACGCUGAGGAGCGAAAGCGUGGGGAGCGAACAGG
Molecule: ribosomal RNA, 253 nt
Filed under: uncultured bacterium
Lineage: Bacteria
Description: partial 16S ribosomal RNA
Rfam family: Bacterial small subunit ribosomal RNA
Source: RNAcentral